GACGAACGCUGGCGGCGUGCUUAACACAUGCAAGUCGAACGGAAAGGCCCUGCUUUUGUGGGGUGCUCGAGUGGCGAACGGGUGAGUAACACGUGAGUAACCUGCCCUUGACUUUGGGAUAACUUCAGGAAACUGGGGCUAAUACCGGAUAGGAGCUCCUGCUGCAUGGUGGGGGUUGGAAAGUUUCGGCGGUUGGGGAUGGACUCUCGGCUUAUCAGCUUGUUGGUGGGGUAGUGGCUUACCAAGGCUUUGACGGGUAGCCGGCCUGAGAGGGUGACCGGCCACAUUGGGACUGAGAUACGGACCAGACUCCUACGGGAGGCAGCAGUGGGAAAUAUUGCACAAUGGGCGGAAGCCUGAUGCAGCAACGCCGCGUGCGGAAUGACGGCCUGCGGGUUGUAAACCGCUUUCGCCUGUGACGAAGCGUGAGUGACGGUAAUGGGUAGAGAAGCACCGGCUAACUACGUG
This 468-nucleotide ribosomal RNA is filed under the name uncultured bacterium. RNAcentral's name for it is "partial 16S ribosomal RNA". It matches the Rfam family "Bacterial small subunit ribosomal RNA", at positions 28 to 507 of the family's 1533-position model. The record is from RNAcentral.